Molecule: long non-coding RNA, 352 nt
Filed under: Populus tremula
Lineage: Eukaryota; Viridiplantae; Streptophyta; Magnoliopsida; Malpighiales; Salicaceae
Description: long non-coding RNA (PTRE_LNC002680)
Source: RNAcentral
ACACAGCAGCCCCUCAUCUCUCAGCCGCCCCCAUCUUCCCCAGAAACAGCAGCGCCUUCCUCUCUCGGCCAACCACCAUCAACCGGCCAACAGCAGCAUCGUCCCUUCCCCAGCAGCUCAUUACGGAUACGGCGAGGAAAUGAGAAGGGAGGCCAGAGGACAGUGAAGAAGGGGCAGAAAACCGAAGCUUGGAUGGGCGCCGAUCUCACAACCAUGGCAGCGGUGGACAACACCGCCGUUGCAGAAAUGAAAUGGGAGGAGGGAAGAUGCCGAUCCAGCCAUCCACACGCCCGGCUCCAGACUUGGCAGAUCUGAAGGAAGAGAAGCCAGAUUGAAAAUAAAGAAAGACUUG